UGCUUCUAGUUGUUUCAUGUCCCCUGAGAAAAGAAGAGCAAAAAGGUUUGGUUACUCAGUUAUUUUUGUGGGAGAGGAAUUCCCAUAUGACUGAAGGUGGGAAACACUGUGUAUGAAAAUAUAAAAGACUCGGCUUUGAGUACAUGUGUGGCCAAUGGAAUCCCUUUAAAAAUGAUCAAUCAGGCUGUGGCUUGCUUUGCUCCGGAAGCCCCUUGAAGAGACUGGCUUACAACAAAGGUCUGAGUCAUGCAAGUUAUUGCCUAAAACUUGGAGCUGACUCUGAAAAAAGUGACUCAAAUAAAUAACAAGAUGAAGCACAGACACUGUUAUAAACUGCUGGUGAGAUUUGAAAAAGAACUGUGGCAUAACACAUCUGGCACAGAUGCGGCAUGGUGUAGAGUUUCUGCCCAGAAAGUCACCAGCUGUGCUUCAUCUUUCCUUGCUCUGAUAGCCUGGACUGCUUCAUCCUCCACCCUGUUCCCAGAGUACUCAGCAGUUCUUCCCUAACUGGGAAAUCUGUAUCAGGGAUAUUGCUGCUGCUUGGAAGAUACCACACUGACAGGUAUCAUCAGUCACACUGUGCUGCUUUGUGAUUUUAAGGUGUCUAAAGCAGUCCAAAACAUGGUGUUAGCUGGGCUUCCAAAAGCAAAGUUUGUAUGCUAAUGCUCUGUCUGGUUUAGCAGAUGUCUCUUCCUACCUGGUUUUAAUGUUAACUACUAAAAAUCAGUGGCUGUUUUAUUGCCCAGAAUGGUAUGCAGCAAGCCCUUUCCUCCAAAGUGUGAAGUCUGCAGAAGCUAUCCUGCUGUGCCAUCACACCCAAAGCAUUGGAUCACCUUAACUCAACUGCUAGGUGCUUUGUGCUACAUUAUUAAUUACUGCAAGGCUUCUAAAGUUUAUUUACUUCAGUAAGAUUUUGGUCCAUUUACUAUGAUUCAUUACUCAAUCUGUGAUGCCAAAUUAAUAUUUUUUAAUUGUCAUAAUAGCUAUGGCACCUAUGUUGUGACAAUUAAGAAAACAGUGGUUAUCUGGUGAAUAUUAUUUGGGUCCGAAUUUUCUUUAAUUGAUUUUGUUAGUAGGCCUACCUUUUGAUGCUGUUCAGAGCCAGUAGGGUUUCUACAUAAAUCUCAACAGUUUGGAAAGGGUAGGAGAGGGAGUGCUGUAUAACAAAGUAUCCUGUGGGGUUUAUACCUAGCAUGAAAAAAGUUGUGUCAUAAAAGUGUCAUUUCUUAGUGUGAAGUUGUUUUGGGUUGUGUUUUUCAAAUACACCUAAGCUGCCCAGAUUGCAUAGAGGAACUAUUUUCAAUUCUUUUGAUGCCUCCAGCAAUUACACCUUCUUGAUGACAGACAAACUGUGUUGAAGCACUGCUGUGUCAAUGGUUUAUGUUUCAGCUGACUCAUCAUGACUUUCAUGCACACAUAAAAGUAAAAAGAAAAAUUUUUGUUGAUUUGCUGAGUGCUGUGCAAUCCUUCAUGUAUCUGAAGUCAUCGUCCAUCUGAAGCUGCCUACAAUAAAUAUAUUAAGUAAAAAUACA
This 1532-nucleotide long non-coding RNA is filed under the name Parus major (Great Tit). RNAcentral's name for it is "lncRNA (ENSPMJG00000005321.1)". Lineage: Eukaryota; Metazoa; Chordata; Aves; Passeriformes; Paridae. The record is from RNAcentral.